CCUACGGGUGGCAGCAGUGAGGAAUAUUGGUCAAUGGGCGAGAGCCUGAACCAGCCAAGUCGCGUGAGGGAAGACGGUCCUAUGGAUUGUAAACCUCUUUUGUCGGGGAGCAAAAGACGCCACGUGUGGCGUUCCGAGAGUACCCGAAGAAAAAGCAUCGGCUAACUCCGUGCCAGCAGCCGCGGUAAUACGGAGGAUGCGAGCGUUAUCCGGAUUUAUUGGGUUAAAAGGGUGCGCAGGCGGAAGAUCAAGUCAGCGGUAAAAUUGGGAGGCUCAACUCCUUCGAGCCGUUGAAACUGGUUGUCUUGAGUGAGCGAGAAGUAUGCGGAAUGCGUGGUGUAGCGGUGAAAUGCAUAGAUAUCACGCAGAACUCCGAUUGCGAAGGCAGCAUACCGGCGCUCAACUGACGCUGAGGCACGAAAGCGUGGGUAUCGAACAGGAUUAGAUACCCCUGUAGUC
RNAcentral lists this ribosomal RNA (459 nucleotides) under uncultured bacterium. RNAcentral describes it as "partial 16S ribosomal RNA". It matches the Rfam family "Bacterial small subunit ribosomal RNA", at positions 338 to 795 of the family's 1533-position model. The record is from RNAcentral.